Molecule: long non-coding RNA, 7140 nt
Filed under: Nicotiana benthamiana
Lineage: Eukaryota; Viridiplantae; Streptophyta; Magnoliopsida; Solanales; Solanaceae
Description: long non-coding RNA (NBEN_LNC022226)
Source: RNAcentral
GCCAUUAGCGUGAAACCCAUCAUUACACUUCAACAAACAAUAUUAAUCAUUACACUUCAACAAACAAUGUUAACAGAAGCUUAAUCAAUCAAGUUUAAACGAGGCAAUAUUAGAAAUAAACAAGACUAACAAAGAGUUGAUUUUCUUUCUUUUUUAAAAAAAAAAACAAAUUUGAAAGCUCAAAUUGAAGAAAACUUAGCACAAAUGGCUUCUUACUUGCUAAAAUCCAAAUAUCUGUGUUGUUUCAAGAGGAGAGAGCGAGAGCGAGGUGUAGGAGGAGAUGUUGCAGGAAAUCAGAUCCUAUUCCAAGGGAAAGAGCGGCAGGUAGUGAACCGAUAAAUUAUAAGAGCGAGGCGUAGGAGGAGAUGUUGCAGGAAAUCAGAUCCUAUUCCAAGGGAAAGAGCAGCAGGUAGUGAACCCAUAAAUUUUCCGGUCCAAAGUUGGACCGACCGCCGAUCAAGUUUGUAUUUUUUAUAAUUUAUAAUUUCGCUUAAAUUUUAUAUAUAUAUAUAUAUAUAUAUAUAUAUAUAUACACACUUUAAAUAUAUAAANNNNNNNNNUUCGCUUAAAUUUUAUAUAUAUAUAUAUAUAUAUAUAUAUAUAUAUAUAUAUAUACACACUUUAAACAUAUAAAGAAAUCACAAUCAAUUAUGUAGACUUAUUUUUGUAUGGGUCAAAAGCUGACUCAUAGUAAUUAAUGAGAUUAAUUCACUGUUAAGUAUAUUCGAGCUAACAAAUGGCACAACUAUUCGUUAAUAAUAAGCACUCGAAGAUCACUCAGUUUAAUCAAUGAGACCACGGCAUGUUCACUAUUGGCGGGCGUCCCCUCGACAUGACCACGGCCAUCCAACGCCAGCUGGCAAGGCGCACAGUUAUAAAUACUAAGAGAAAGAACCCUAAAAGGGGGCUGCUUCUUCUUCUUCAUUUUCCACUUCUUAAAGAAGUGAAUAUCAUUGUAAGGCUAUGAACCUCUCCAUUGAGAGGCAGAACAAAUCAAUAUCAUCAAUAAAAGAUCCCUACCCAUCUCUCCUUAACAAAUAACACUUGUCUUUCGCAUUUUCACUUGGUCUUCCGGUUUAUUACGAUCUGCUAUGAUCGGCCCUCAAUUUAAUUUCAUUGUUUUACGUUUGCAAAGUAUGUAAUGGCUUUGAGCUAAACAAUUUGGCGCCGUCUCUGGGGAUUUCAUAGAAGAAUCACGUAGCUCUUCCUCAGACACAAAAAAAAGAAAACACCCAAAAGGGAAAACAACCAAGCUCGAAUGAGCCAAAGUAGCACACCAAGUGAAAGGAACUCGAAAGCUCCGGCAAGAGUCCGAAGCCCUGACUUCCCCCCCCAGGGAGAACAUAGGCGAGAGACCCUCAAGAAGGCUACAUACAAAUCAGAUAAGAUCUCAAAUGAAAACCUAACCCCCCAAGAAAAUAGGUCAGGUAAGAAGGCAAAAGCUCACCUAUGAGUUGAAAUGGGACUUAGGCUAUGUGCCUCGGACACAAAAAUUACAAAGGUUCAACUACGGUUGAACAACAACUCAGGCUAUGUGCCUUCGCCCAAAAGUUCAACUAUGAGUUGAAAUAGGACUCAGGCUAUGUGCCUUCGACAUCAAAAAAUUACAAAGGUUCAACUACGGUUGAGCAACAGCUCAGGCUACGUGAUGUCGCCCAAAAGUUCAACUAUGAGUUGAACUGGGACUCAGGCUAUGUGCCUUCGACAACAAAAUUACAGAGGUUCAACUAUGAGUUGAACUGGGACACAGGCUAUGUGCCUUCGACAACAAGAAUUGCAAAGGUUCAACUCUUGUUGAACAAUAACUCAGGCUACGUGCCCUCGCCCAAAAGUUCAACUAUGAGUUGAACUAGGACUCAGCCUACGUGCCUUCGACAUUAAAAAAUUGCAAAGGUUCAACUAUGGUUGAACAACAGCUCAGGCUAUGUUCCUUUGCCCAAAAGUUCAACUAUGAGUUGAACUAGGACUCAGGCUAUGUGCCUUCAACAACAAGAAUUGCAAAGGUUCAACUACGGUUGAACAACAACACAGGCUACGUGCCCUCACCCAAAAGUUCAACUAUGAGUCGAACUGAGGCUCAGGCUAUGUGCCUUCGACAAUAAAAUUGCAAAGGUUCAACUACGGCUGAACAACAGUGUUGAACUAUAAUUAACAUCAAUAAAUCAACCACAGUAAUAUACUAUAAUUAACAUCAAUAAAUAUUAUUAGUUUUACCUCUACAUGUAUUACUUGAUAUUUGUUAGCCCUUCUUGAUUUAUACUUGCUGUUUAAUGGACCUUUACCUGCUUAAUUGAAGAUUAUUUACCCUUCUAUAGUCAUAUUACCCGUCCUAACUACUCGCCUUUAAGUAAAAAUCAAAAAUAUUAUAUCUCAUGUAAUUAAUUGGAUUUAAACAGAAAUAAGAUAGAUAUCUUAUGAUUUGUUGUUAUUUCCUUAAAUUGAAAUUAUUUGAUUCAUGUUGACUUCUUAUUAGUUGAACAACAGCUCAGGCUAUGUUCCUUUGCCCAAAAGUUCAACUAUGAGUUGAACUAGGACUCAGGCUAUGUGCCUUCAACAACAAGAAUUGCAAAGGUUCAACUACGGUUGAACAACAACACAGGCUACGUGCCCUCACCCAAAAGUUCAACUAUGAGUUGAACUGAGACUCAGGCUAUGUGCCUUCGACAAUAAAAUUGCAAAGAUUCAACUACGGCUGAACAACAGCUCAGGCUAUGUGCCUUCGACAACAAGAAUUGCAAAGGUUCAACUAUGGUUGAACAACAACUCAGGCUACGUUCCCUCGCCCAAAAGUUCAACUAAUAAGAUAAUUUAUCGGUUCACUACCUGCCGCUCUUUCCCUUGGAAUAGGAUCUGAUUUCCUGCAACAUCUCCUCCUACACCUCGCUCUCGCUCUCUCCUCUUGAAACAACACAGAUAUUUGGAUUUUAGCAAGUAAGAAGCCAUUUGUGCUAAGUUUUCUUCAAUUUGAGCUUUCAAAUUUGUUUUUUUUUAAAAAAAGAAAGAAAAUCAACUCUUUGUUAGUCUCGUUUAUAUAUUGCCUCGUUUAAACUUGAUUGAUUUUGUUUUUUUUUUUUUAAAAAAAAAGAAAGAAAAUCAACUCUUUGUUAGUCUCAUUUAUUUCUAAUAUUGCCUCGUUUAAACUUGAUCGAUUAAGCUUCUGUUAACAUUGUUUGUUGAAGUGUAAUGAUGGGUUUCACGCUAAGGCACUAUAUCCACUAAAAGUUGAAUCUUUUCUUUUUGCAAUGCUCUUUCUGUUUUUUUUUAAGAAAUAAAUUUCAUGUAGAGCAAGAUGAUGUUGCAUUUUUUUUCUUUAUCCAUUAAAUUUAUCUAGUGGUAUAUUACUGUGGUUGAUCUAUUGAUGUUAAUUAUAGUAUAAAAAUUGGUUGAUGUUUUGAAUUUUAGAAUCUAUCUAGUGGUAUAUUACUGUGGUUGAUUUAUUGAUGUUAAUUAAAGUAUAUUACUGUGGUUGAUUUAUUAAUGUUAAUUAUAGUUCAACACUAUUGUUCAGCCGUAGUUGAACCUUUGCAAUUUUAUUGUCGAAGGCACAUAGCCUGAGUCUCAGUUCAACUCAUAGUUGAACUUUUGGGGAGGGCACGUAGCCUGUGUUGUUGUUCAACCGUAGUUAAACCUUUGCAAUUCUUGUUGUUGAAGGCACAUAGCCUGAGUCCUAGUUUAACUCAUAGUUGAACUUUUGGGCAAAGGAACAUAGCCUGAGCUGUUGUUCAACUAAUAAGAAGUCAACAUGAAUCAAAUAAUUUCAAUUUAAGGAAAUAACAACAAAUCAUAAGAUAUCUAUCUUAUUUCUGUUUAAAUCCAAUUAAUUACAUGAGAUAUAAUAUUUUUGAUUUUUACUUAAAGGCGAGUAGUUAGGACGGGUAAUAUGACUAUAGAAGGGUAAAUAAUCUUCAAUUAAGCAGGUAAAGGUCCAUUAAACAGCAAGUAUAAAUCAAGAAGGGCUAACAAAUAUCAAGUAAUACAUGUAGAGGUAAAACUAAUAAUAUUUAUUGAUGUUAAUUAUAGUAUAUUACUGUGGUUGAUUUAUUGAUGUUAAUUAUAGUUCAACACUGUUGUUCAGCCGUAGUUGAACCUUUGCAAUUUUAUUGUCGAAGGCACAUAGCCUGAGCCUCAGUUCGACUCAUAGUUGAACUUUUGGGUGAGGGCACGUAGCCUGUGUUGUUGUUCAACCGUAGUUGAACCUUUGCAAUUCUUGUUGUUGAAGGCACAUAGCCUGAGUCCUAGUUCAACUCAUAGUUGAACUUUUGGGCAAAGGAACAUAGCCUGAGCUGUUGUUCAACUAAUAAGAAGUCAACAUGAAUCAAAUAAUUUCAAUUUAAGGAAAUAACAACAAAUCAUAAGAUAUCUAUCUUAUUUCUGUUUAAAUCCAAUUAAUUACAUGAGAUAUAAUAUUUUUGAUUUUUACUUAAAGGCGAGUAGCGUUCAAAUCCAAUUAAUUACAUGAGAUAUAAUAUUUUUGAUUUUUACUUAAAGGCGAGUAGUUAGGACGGGUAAUAUGACUAUAGAAGGGUAAAUAUCUUCAGUUAAGCAGGUAAAGGUCCAUUAAACAGCAAGUAUAAAUCAAGAAGGGCUAACAAAUAUCAAGUAAUACAUGUAGAGGUAAAACUAAUAAUAGGGAACUCAAUCGUAUCAAUAUCAUCUUCAUACUCGGAGAUUUCAAGGAUCUAGUAGCCUAAAAGGGACAAUUUACCACAAAUAAAUUCGAGCACGCACUCGUCACCUCGCGUANNNNNNNNNNNNNNNNNNNNNNNNNNNNNNNNNNNNNNNNNNNNNNNNNNNNNNNNNNNNNNNNNNNNNNNNNNNNNNNNNNNNNNNNNNNNNNNNNNNNNNNNNNNNNNNNNNNNNNNNNNNNNNNNNNNNNNNNNNNNNNNNNNNNNNNNNNNNNNNNNNNNNNNNNNNNNNNNNNNNNNNNNNNNNNNNNNNNNNNNNNNNNNNNNNNNNNNNNNNNNNNNNNNNNNNNNNNNNNNNNNNNNNNNNNNNNNNNNNNNNNNNNNNNNNNNNNNNNNNNNNNNNNNNNNNNNNNNNNNNNNNNNNNNNNNNNNNNNNNNNNNNNNNNNNNNNNNNNNUCGGUCUAUGAAGUUCUACCCAUUUUUCAUUCAAAAACUUAAAUUAAAAGAUGAAAUUAAGAGGAGAUUCAUGGAAGUUUGUCUAAAUCGAGUGAGAACGCUUACCCAAGUUGCACAAGUGAAAAUCCCUUCAAAAAUCGCCACGAACCGAGCUCUAGAGGUCAACAUGUGAAUAAAUGGUGAAAGCCUCGAAUUUGGGAAUUAAAUUUGUCUGCCCAGUGAUUUGUUCUAUGCGAUCGCAAGAGGAGGAAUGCGAUCGCAUAGAGUAAAGUUGGAAGCCAAGAAAAGAAGCCUAUGCGAUUGCAGGAAGGCUAAUGCGAUCGCAGAAGAGGGAGAAGUAUAACUAUACGAUCGCGAACAAGGCUAUGCGAUCGCAUAGAACGAAUUGGAGCCCUUCUGGAAAAAACUAUGCAUAGAUUCCCUAUUAUUGGGUUCAUUUAAGUUCACCUAAAAAUGAAUCCUAUAGCUUCUAGCACAACUCAAUAGAUAUUAUUACCACACUAGUGGAUUUACUAUUGAAAGAAGAACAUCCUACAUUCUCUCAUAACUAAUCAGAAAGUCAGACGACCUCCUUCACAUGACAUUUGUACAUAACUUCCCUGUUACUAACAUAGAUUGAGGCUUAUGGGAUGCAACUCAAAAAAAUUUAUUGUAGCAGGAUGACAUAUAUCCAUCGUAGUAUUGUUAAAAGUAUGUUAAGCAGAUCUUUCAUGAUGUGAGAGGAGAUUAGUUAGAUAAUUUAACUUAGUUACAUAAUCAAGAUGAUUAGUGAAUUUACUGAAGAUGUGGGUGCACAUAAUCAGCAAAUAUACACAAACAAAUAAAGAAGUAGUUGAGGAAGGCGGCGAUGAAAAUCAGAGGAACUUCUUAUCUACAUUCUCUUCUUCUUUGUUCUUCUUCCUCUUUUUUUCUCUCCCCUUCCCUCUUUCUUCUUCUCUUCUCCUUCAUUAACUUCCUAAUCUGAAUGUUUGUAUUUGUAAUUACUUCUUGAAAAUGGCUUACAUUUUAUUCAAUUAGAAUAGCAGCAAAAUUCAUUUCUCCUCCAUUUUGGGUUCAUAACAAGAUGGAAUCAGCUAGAAUCUAUUAUAUUUUCCUAGGAGUUCAAUUCAAGCCCCAUCUUGAUAUGAAGCCCAACUCUUGGUUCAAUCUUGGCUCCGUUAUUAGAAAAGUUUUACCAUGAUUUAAAGUGAAAAUUCUAAAAUUCAAAACAUCAACCAAUUUUUAUACUAUAAUUAACAUCAAUAGAUCAACCACAGUAAUAUACCACUAGAUAAAUUUAAUGGAUAAAGAAAAAAAAUGCAACAUCAUCUUGCUCUACAUGAAAUUUAUUUCUUAAGAAAAAACAGAAAGAGCAUUGCAAAAAGAAAAGAUUCAACUUUUAGUGGAUAUAGUGCCUUAGCGUGAAACCCAUCAUUACACUUCAACAAACAAUGUUAACAGAAGCUUAAUCAAUCAAGUUUAAACGAGGCAAUAUUAGAAAUAAAUGAGACUAACAAAGAGUUGAUUUUCUAAUCAAGUUUAAACGAGGCAAUAUAUAAACGAGACUAACAAAGAGUUGAUUUUCUUUCUUUUUUUAAAAAAAAACAAAUUUGAAAGCUCAAAUUGAAGAAAACUUAGCACAAAUGGCUUCUUACUUGCUAAAAUCCAAAUAUCUGUGUUGUUUCAAGAGGAGAGAGCGAGAGCGAGGUGUAGGAGGAGAUGUUGCAGGAAAUCAGAUCCUAUUCCAAGGGAAAGAGCGGCAGGUAGUGAACCGAUAAAUUAUCUUAUUAGUUGAACUUUUGGGCGAGGGAACGUAGCCUGAGUUGUUGUUCAACCAUAGUUGAACCUUUGCAAUUCUUGUUGUCGAAGGCACAUAGCCUGAGCUAGCGGAGGCGGCGUCCAUAAAUUUUAAUAUUCGAAGGGUGAUAUUUGGGGCAUUGGAAUGAGGAUAGGGAGAAGAUUCAAGGGUGUAAAUUUUGGAUUCAUCGGAGCAUCACCGCCGGUAAAGGUGAUUUUCGGACGGACGACGGAAGGCGGAAGGUAGUGGUGAUAUUAGGGCUAAUCUGUGUCGAUACCUGCG